RNAcentral lists this ribosomal RNA (916 nucleotides) under uncultured Methanoculleus sp. RNAcentral describes it as "bacterial SSU rRNA". It matches the Rfam family "Archaeal small subunit ribosomal RNA", at positions 1 to 923 of the family's 1478-position model. Lineage: Archaea; Methanobacteriati; Methanobacteriota; Methanomicrobia; Methanomicrobiales; Methanomicrobiaceae. The record is from RNAcentral.
AUUUUCCGGUUGAUCCUGCCGGAGGUCACUGCUAUCGGGGUUCGAUUAAGCCAUGCGAGUCGAGAGGGUUCGGCCCUCGGCGUACUGCUCAGUAACACGUGGAUAACCUGCCCUAAGGAAGGGGAUAACCUCGGGAAACUGAGGAUAAUACCCUAUAGGAUACCGAUGCUGGAAUGCCCGGUAUCCCAAAGCUCCGGCGCCUUAGGAUGGAUCUGCGGCCGAUUAGGUCGUUGUUGGGGUAACGGCCCAACAAGCCGAUAAUCGGUACGGGUUGUGGGAGCAAGAGCCCGGAGUUGGAUUCUGAGACACGAAUCCAGGCCCUACGGGGCGCAGCAGGCGCGAAAACUUUACAAUGCGGGCAACCGUGAUAAGGGAACCUCGAGUGCCUGUACAUGCAGGCUGUCUGGGUGUCUAAAACACACCCAAAGAAAGGGCCGGGCAAGACCGGUGCCAGCCGCCGCGGUAAUACCGGCGGCUCGAGUGGUGGCCACUUUUAUUGGGCUUAAAGCGUUCGUAGCUGGGUUGUUAAGUCUCUUGGGAAAUCUGGCAGCUUAACUGUCAGGCGUCUAAGAGAUACUGGCAAUCUAGGAACCGGGAGAGGUGAGGGGUACUUCGGGGGUAGGAGUGAAAUCCUGUAAUCCUCGAGGGACCACCUGUGGCGAAGGCGCCUCACCAGAACGGCUUCGACAGUGAGGGACGAAAGCUGAGGGAGCAAACCGGAUUAGAUACCCGGGUAGUCCCAGCCGUAAACGAUGCGCGUUAGGUGUGUCGAUGACCACGAGUCAUCGAGGUGCCGAAGGGAAACCGUGAAACGCGCCGCCUGGGAAGUACGGUCGCAAGGCUGAAACUUAAAGGAAUUGGCGGGGGAGCACCACAACGCGUGGAGCCUGCGGUUUAAUUGGAGUCAACGCCGGGA